Molecule: long non-coding RNA, 645 nt
Filed under: Elaeis guineensis (African oil palm)
Lineage: Eukaryota; Viridiplantae; Streptophyta; Magnoliopsida; Arecales; Arecaceae
Description: long non-coding RNA (EGUI_LNC049590)
Source: RNAcentral
GGUUCGAUAUGCAGUCCAUGCACUACCUACGAGUUAGCUGAUGCUAUUCGGUAUAUAGCCAACUAUUUCCUCGGUGUCCUAUUGACUACUCGGUCAAGUGGCACCACAUCACGGGCUCAUUCAUCUGACUUUCGAACUCCAAGGCACGGGUGUCAGCCGAGCAGCCGAAUGCUUAAUGUGGCCACCAUGCUAUUCCAUCGGAUCACAUCAAGUCAUAUCACCCAGGAGCUAUUUCUGGACGGUUGGUUGCGCGCCAUGAUGGGAAGCCACGAGACCAUUAAUUGCGCCACACACGUGGUAGCAUCCGUCACCACCUGCACACCAAACAAAAAGCACACCCGCCAUGAGAGCCAUUUAAAGAUACCCCAUGCACCUUCGUAGGAUGGGACAUGCUUGGAAUGACCGUCCAUUUUUUCGCCAUUGACCUUAAUCCCUCUAUAAAUAGAGGUAUGUAAGAACCCUUCCAGAUAAGCAAUGCAUACUCUAACACCGAGACUCUGCUCCUAUUGAGCUCCAUCCCUCUGCCACCGCAGAGCAGCAAUGAUGUUGGCCUGCCGUAUGUCGUCAAACCGCUUGUUGUCAAUGAAGCUCUCCGUAUUGGAUGAGGCGUGGGACGUGGGGGUGGAUGAGAUGAUGGCGGCCACC